Molecule: unclassified non-coding RNA, 286 nt
Filed under: Hevea brasiliensis (rubber tree)
Lineage: Eukaryota; Viridiplantae; Streptophyta; Magnoliopsida; Malpighiales; Euphorbiaceae
Source: RNAcentral
ACAAACACUUUGCAAUGGUGAAAGUAAUUGUUAUCACUGACACACUAUCAUCAGUCAAAGGCUCAAAAGUCAAUACUCAAUGGACCAAGUUUCACUCUAUACAGAUCUUGAAAUUCAUGGAAACUAAUUAAUUCUAAGGAAUGGCUAUAUAUUUGUGUGCACAAAUUCUUAUCACUGACACUCUCAUCAGACUCAAAAGUCGAUACUCAUUGGACUAAGUUUCACUCUAUACAGAUACUGAAAUUCAUGGAAACUAAUGAAUUCUAAGCCGUGACUAUCUAGUUGU